This 208-nucleotide ribosomal RNA is filed under the name uncultured bacterium. Its description in RNAcentral is "partial 16S ribosomal RNA". It matches the Rfam family "Bacterial small subunit ribosomal RNA", at positions 524 to 729 of the family's 1533-position model. The record is from RNAcentral.
UACAUGGGGUGCAAACGUUUGCUCGGAAUUAUUGGGCGUAAAGCGCACGUAGGCGGUUCGUUAAGUCGGAUGUGAAAGCCCUCGGCUCAACUGAGGAAGUGCACCCGAAACUGGCGAGCUUGAGUACGAAAGAGGAUCGCGGAAUUCCCGGUGUAGAGGUGAAAUUCGUAGAUAUCGGGGAGGAACACCGGUGGCGAAGGCGGCGAAC